This 253-nucleotide ribosomal RNA is filed under the name uncultured bacterium. RNAcentral describes it as "partial 16S ribosomal RNA". It matches the Rfam family "Bacterial small subunit ribosomal RNA", at positions 524 to 776 of the family's 1533-position model. The record is from RNAcentral.
UACGUAGGGUGCAAGCGUUGUCCGGAAUUAUUGGGCGUAAAGAGCUCGUAGGCGGUCUGUUGCGUCGGCUGUGAAAACUCGGGGCUCAACUCCGGGCCUGCAGCCGAUACGGGCAGACUAGAGUUCGGCAGGGGAGACUGGAAUUCCUGGUGUAGCGGUGAAAUGCGCAGAUAUCAGGAGGAACACCGGUGGCGAAGGCGGGUCUCUGGGCCGAUACUGACGCUGAGGAGCGAAAGCGUGGGGAGCGAACAGG